Molecule: ribosomal RNA, 428 nt
Filed under: uncultured bacterium
Lineage: Bacteria
Description: bacterial SSU rRNA
Rfam family: Bacterial small subunit ribosomal RNA
Source: RNAcentral
AUUGAACGCUGGCGGCAUGCCUUACACAUGCAAGUCGAACGGCAGCACGGGAGCAAUCCUGGUGGCGAGUGGCGAACGGGUGAGUAAUAUAUCGGAACGUGCCCAGUCGUGGGGAUAACGUAGCGAAAGCUACGCUAAUACCGCAUACGAUCUAUGGAUGAAAGCGGGGGAUCGCAAGACCUCGCGCGAUUGGAGCGGCCGAUAUCAGAUUAGGUAGUUGGUGAGGUAAAGGCUCACCAAGCCGACGAUCUGUAGCUGGUCUGAGAGGACGACCAGCCACACUGGGACUGAGACACGGCCCAGACUCCUACGGGAGGCAGCAGUGGGGAAUUUUUGGACAAUGGGCGCAAGCCUGAUCCAGCAAUGCCGCGUGCAGGAUGAAGGCCUCGGUUGUAACUAGCUUUGUUACGGAACGAACGGUAGAGCGU